GUAGAUAUGGCUCACUGGUUAAGAGCUCUGACUGCUCCUCUGAAGGUCCUGAGUUCAAAUCCCAGCAACCACA
Molecule: non-coding RNA, 73 nt
Organism: Mus musculus (house mouse)
Lineage: Eukaryota; Metazoa; Chordata; Mammalia; Rodentia; Muridae
Source: Rfam